This 652-nucleotide long non-coding RNA is filed under the name Pan troglodytes (chimpanzee). RNAcentral describes it as "long non-coding RNA NONPTRT014034". Lineage: Eukaryota; Metazoa; Chordata; Mammalia; Primates; Hominidae. The record is from RNAcentral.
CCGUUCCAGUUUUUAAAUCCUGAGUCAAGCCAAAAGAAAACCCCAGCCACAAAAAAACAAAUAAAGUCACACCAAUCUCAUCUUGUUUUCAGUGCAAGUUAGGUUUUGUCAGAGGCCCAGGAAAUCGAGGCUGCAGUGAGCUGAGAUUGCACCACUGCCAGCUUCAUCCAUGUCCCUACAAAGGACAUGAACUCAUCAUUUUUUAUGGCUGCAUAGUAUUCCAUGGUGUAUAUGUUUCACAUUUUCUUAAUCCAGUCUAUCAUUGAUGGACAUUUGGGUUGGUUCCAAGUCUUUGCUAUUGUGAAUAGUGUGUCUUUAUAGCAGCAUGAUUUAUAAUCCUUUGGGUAUAUAGCCAGUAAUGGGAUGGCUGGGUCAAAUGGUAUGUCUAAUUCUAGAUCCUUGAGGAAUUGCCACACUGUCUUCCACAAUGGUUGAACUAGUUUACAGUCCCACCAACGGUGUAAAAGUGUUCCUAUUUCUCCACAUCCUCUCCAGCACCUGUUGUUUCCUAACUUUUUAAUGAUCGCCAUUCUAACUGGUGUGAGAUGGUAUCUCAUUGUGGUUUUGAUUUGCAUUUCUCUGAUGACCAGUGAUGAUGAGCAUUUUUUCAUGUGUCUGUUGACUACAUAAAUGUCUUCUUUUGAGAAGUGUC